AGAGUUUGAUCAUGGCUCAGAUUGAACGCUGGCGGCAGGCCUAACACAUGCAAGUCGAACGGUAACAGGAAGCAGCUUGCUGCUUCGCUGACGAGUGGCGGACGGGUGAGUAAUGUCUGGGAAACUGCCUGAUGGAGGGGGAUAACUACUGGAAACGGUGGCUAAUACCGCAUAACGUCGCAAGACCAAAGAGGGGGACCUUCGGGCCUCUUGCCAUCAGAUGUGCCCAGAUGGGAUUAGCUAGUUGGUGAGGUAACGGCUCACCAAGGCGACGAUCCCUAGCUGGUCUGAGAGGAUGACCAGCCACACUGGAACUGAGACACGGUCCAGACUCCUACGGGAGGCAGCAGUGGGGAAUAUUGCACAAUGGGCGCAAGCCUGAUGCAGCCAUGCCGCGUGUAUGAAGAAGGCCUUCGGGUUGUAAAGUACUUUCAGCGGGGAGGAAGGUGUUGUGGUUAAUAACCGCAGCAAUUGACGUUACCCGCAGAAGAAGCACCGGCUAACUCCGUGCCAGCAGCCGCGGUAAUACGGAGGGUGCAAGCGUUAAUCGGAAUUACUGGGCGUAAAGCGCACGCAGGCGGUCUGUCAAGUCGGAUGUGAAAUCCCCGGGCUCAACCUGGGAACUGCAUUCGAAACUGGCAGGCUUGAGUCUUGUAGAGGGGGGUAGAAUUCCAGGUGUAGCGGUGAAAUGCGUAGAGAUCUGGAGGAAUACCGGUGGCGAAGGCGGCCCCCUGGACAAAGACUGACGCUCAGGUGCGAAAGCGUGGGGAGCAAACAGGAUUAGAUACCCUGGUAGUCCACGCCGUAAACGAUGUCUACUUGGAGGUUGUGCCCUUGAGGCGUGGCUUCCGGAGCUAACGCGUUAAGUAGACCGCCUGGGGAGUACGGCCGCAAGGUUAAAACUCAAAUGAAUUGACGGGGCCCGCACAAGCGGUGGAGCAUGUGGUUUAAUUCGAUGCAACGCGAAGAACCUUACCUGGUCUUGACAUCCACAGAACUUUCCAGAGAUGGAUUGGUGCCUUCGGGAACUGUGAGACAGGUGCUGCAUGGCUGUCGUCAGCUCGUGUUGUGAAAUGUUGGGUUAAGUCCCGCAACGAGCGCAACCCUUAUCCUUUGUUGCCAGCGAUUAGGUCGGGAACUCAAAGGAGACUGCCAGUGAUAAACUGGAGGAAGGUGGGGAUGACGUCAGUCAUCAUGGCCCUUACGACCAGGGCUACACACGUGCUACAAUGGCGCAUACAAAGAGAAGCGACCUCGCGAGAGCAAGCGGACCUCAUAAAGUGCGUCGUAGUCCGGAUUGGAGUCUGCAACUCGACUCCAUGAAGUCGGAAUCGCUAGUAAUCGUGGAUCAGAAUGCCACGGUGAAUACGUUCCCGGGCCUUGUACACACCGCCCGUCACACCAUGGGAGUGGGUUGCAAAAGAAGUAGGUAGCUUAACCUUCGGGAGGGCGCUUACCACUUUGUGAUUCAUGACUGGGGUGAAGUCGUAACAAGGUAACCGUAGGGGAACCUGCGGUUGGAUCACCU
This 1528-nucleotide ribosomal RNA is filed under the name Salmonella enterica subsp. enterica serovar Hartford. RNAcentral describes it as "bacterial SSU rRNA". It matches the Rfam family "Bacterial small subunit ribosomal RNA". The record is from RNAcentral. Lineage: Bacteria; Pseudomonadati; Pseudomonadota; Gammaproteobacteria; Enterobacterales; Enterobacteriaceae.